RNAcentral lists this unclassified non-coding RNA (319 nucleotides) under Hevea brasiliensis (rubber tree). Lineage: Eukaryota; Viridiplantae; Streptophyta; Magnoliopsida; Malpighiales; Euphorbiaceae. The record is from RNAcentral.
AGAUAAAGGAAAUUUCUGGGAGAAUUUAAUGGACAACAGUUGUGGCUUUAUGGAUCUGGUGCAUACUAGGUCUGUCUUGGCUACAUACAAGUGUUUGUGGAGAGCCCUAUCUACUAGUAGUCCUUUUGGGUAGCUUACAAAUCUGCUAGCACAUUUGAUUUUAGGUCUCUUUGAAUUGUUGUGUUACUGUUACUUGAAAUUAAUGUCACUGGAGAAGAAGAUGGAACAAUUGUUCUUGAAUAAGCUUAAUUGCAGCUGCAUAGUGGAAAGAGAGUACUAGUAGCACUGUUCAUGUAGGUCAUAUAUAUCAAAAGGAAAU